GUAACGCGUGGGCAACCUGGCCCGCACUGGGGGACAACAGCCGGAAACGGCUGCUAAUACCGCAUAUGCGCACAGCUUUGCAUGAAGCAGUGUGGAAAACUCCGGUGGUGCGGGAUGGGCCCGCGUCUGAUUAGCUGGUUGGCGGGGCAACGGGCCCACCAAGGCGACGAUCAGUAGCCGGCCUGAGAGGGUGGACCGGCCACAUUGGGACUGAGACACGGCCCAGACUCCUACGGGAGGCAGCAG
This 246-nucleotide ribosomal RNA is filed under the name uncultured bacterium. RNAcentral describes it as "partial 16S ribosomal RNA". It matches the Rfam family "Bacterial small subunit ribosomal RNA", at positions 110 to 354 of the family's 1533-position model. The record is from RNAcentral.